GGCGAAUGGUGUGUUGCUUCUCAAUGGUGUGUCCAGAGGAAGAUACAGAGAAAACGAAGAAUCUGAAGUCAGGCAGGUGGUGUCGAUGCUGGUUGUGGUGGUGGUGCUGUUCGUCCUGUGUUGGGGACCAAUUCUGGUGGUGAACGUACUCAAGUCUUAUGGGAUUUUGCCCGCUUAUUCUCCGGUCCUGAAGCACGUCGUCACUACCAUGGAUCUGCUUUCUUACUGUAAUAGUUGCGUGAACCCAAUCGUGUACGGGUUCAUGUCGAGGAACUUCAGGGAGAGCUUCUGCCAGGUUCUCAGAUGCGGCCGCCGCCCUUUCCACGGGCGCACCCACCGCCAGAUGUCUCUGUCGCUCACCAGGACUCUAUACUGAGACACAAUACCGAUAGCAGGCUUUGGAACAAUCGCAGCCUAACUUCGAGGGUGUCUUACCCUCUUAGCUACGGUUAUAACUACAGCAGAAGUACGACCCAAGAGACAAUUAUGAUGAUGAAAACGACCCCAUCUUAACUCAUGGGCGACUGACAGGUCGUCUGGAAAUACGGCCCCAGUUGGUUGAAGUACUUUCCCAAGUGGUUCGAAGACUAGGCCCAGCUGGAUAAAAAUAUGACUUCUGAGGUUGUAAAAUUCCAACGGCUGUGGCUGAAUGGAAGAACCCACCGAACAGAAAGCGAGUUAAAAUACUACCAUGGUGAGUAGAUAUUUUGAUCCCAGUGGGUAUUCAGUGCGACACUAAUUGGUUAAAAAUUCGACCCCAGUCGGUGUAAAGAAUGAUUCACUGGUAGAUGGUACGACCAUAUUGAUGAGAAAGUGCAAUGAACACGAUAGAAGGUACGACCUAAAUGAUGAGAAAGUGCAAUGAAUAGGAUAGACGGUACGAUCUAAUUGAUACGACCUAAUUUGAGAAAGUACAAUGAACAGGAUAGAAGGUGCGACCUAAUUGAUAAGAAAGUGCAAUGAACAGGAUAGAAGGUACGACCUAAUUGAUAAGAAAAUGCAAUGAACAGGAUAGAAGGUACGACCUAAUCAAUGAGAAAGUGCAAUGAAUAGGAUAGACGGUACGAUCUAAUUGAUGAGACAGUGCAAUGAACAGGAUAGAAGGUAAGGUACGACUUAAUUUGAGAAAGUACAAUGAACAGGAUAGAAGGUACGACCUAAUUUAUGAGAGAGCAAUGAACAGGAUAGAAGGUACGACAUAAUUGAUAAGAAAGUGCAAUAAACAAGAUAGAAGGUACGACCUAACUGAUGAGAAUGUGCAAUAAACAAGACACGAAAGAAAAUAGUACAGUUAACUACCGGAAUUUUCUCGUCACUUCUGUCGUCUGGAAGUGAAACAAAGUCUGCUCCCUAAUUGUGAAUACUAUACUCAGUGAUAAACGUCUGAUGUAUUUUUAUUCUGAGAUAUAAUACUACUCAGUGCUCUUCUUAGCUCGCUGUUUUUCGUUAGAUUCGGAUCUUUCAUAAAAUCAUCAUAUGUUAAUGUAUGAUUUUCAUCAUUCCCAGAAUAAUAAGAAAUUACGACUCCGACUUGGUUUCCAUUUUGAAGGUCCCUACUAGGUCUUACGGUAACAUUUACAAUACGAACUGAGAAACUCGAAAAUUCGUUAAAUUUGUUCUAUCUUUCAUUUAUGUUAACUUAUGUUGUUUUGAUUAUAUUCAAAUCAGAAAUCAAUUUCCACUGCAUCAUUCCCAAACAGAGACUUAUAGAGUACAUAUUCAAAUAAGUAAUUUUUUAAAAAAUAUAAACAAAGGAUAUCAAAACAUUAAUAACAUAACCAUAACGGAAAUAAAUGGACUGAAAUUCAUAUUUCAGUAACCCAGCGACAUCUCUCUUUGUAGAUUUCAUAAUAUGGAAAGAUAUAGGCCUCUCCUACAUCACGCUUUGCUAUAAUAUGCAGCAUCACACUACAGAUAAAACAAGUCAAAGAGAGUCUCUCUGUUAGUAAAUUGAAAUACGAUUUGUUUUUAUAAAUACAUCAAAGUCCUAUUUUUAUUACAAAUACACUUUUUUGCCAUGAAAAUAUAAUGAAGUGUGCAAGUAACAGAUUCAAUUUGUUAGUAAAUGUCCAACAAAGCUGAUGAAAAAUUUAUCGUUAAUAUUUUGCACUGUCUAUUAUGUAGGAUAAUCUGCACGCUUAAAUAUCCAAUCUUCUGUCGCCUUCAAGUUCCGACGCUCCAUCACUGGACAAAUAGAGUUUAGGAACUUUGGGGGAGAAAGGAUAUCCUUCGGCAUCCUAAGGAAAACCUUUUAUCUCUUACAACCUUCUCGAGUUUCCAGACGAUACGACAACUUCAAUAUAACAAAGGAGACAGGAUCCUAAAGCGCUAUCAGUGGAAGUUCCUGUCUGAACAGAUUUUCCUUUGCUAUCUUGGCUACUUCAUUGAUGUGUAAACUGAGGGGAUGUUAGUAUGGAAAUCAAACCUAAAAUCAGUGAUAUAUUUAACCAGUGUUUUAUCUUCACUAUCAUCAGUGUGAUCUGUGUUCCAAUCACUUAUUUUAUUCCAUCAACAUUCCUCAAAGUGACUGAGUGAUGAUUGACAUUGAUGUAUUUAAUGUCGUGACUUCAAUAAAUGUCA
This is a long non-coding RNA of Macrobrachium nipponense, 2580 nucleotides long. RefSeq lists it as uncharacterized. The record is from RefSeq and is a predicted model, not a curated record. NCBI's taxonomy places the organism in Eukaryota, Metazoa, Arthropoda, Malacostraca, Decapoda, Palaemonidae. The transcript has 5 exons.